UGGCCCAGGGCCCGGCCGGGGAAGGCGUUGUUUUGCCAGCGGGAGCCGAGCGAGUGCGCAGAGAAAAGCCUCCCUGCUCUAAUGAGAGUGCACACAGCGCUGCAGCGAGGAGGAUGAUUACCCGGCGGGCGGGGGGGCGCGGGGCCGGGCCGCGGGCGGCGUGUGCGGCGGCCCCGCGGGCCCGGAGUCCCCGCCUGUCUGGCUGCUAAUCGCACGCUUUCUGCUGUUACGGGGGCAGGCGGGAGCCGGCGGCCAAGCCCAGCGCCGGCGACUCGGCGGGUGACACGGAAACAUGGCGCAGCGCCCCUCCCCCGCCCGCCCGCCCGCCCUCCCUGCGCUCCCGCCUCCCGCCUCGCACUUCCUCCCGCCCGCGAGGCUUUUGCAGUUCUAAUGCUCUGCUGUCCGCCCGGCACCAUUACGCUAGCAGCCGCUUCUCGGCCGCCGCGCGCGUCUCUUUCCCUUUUGUUUUCGGGGUCUAUAGAAAACGUUUGCUUUUGUCCCGAGCUCUCGUUAAACCAAACUUGUGGUGGCAACGGAAGGCGGUGCGGGCGGGGAGGGGCCCGGGGAUUUUGGCAGCAGCCGACCAGAGCGUGGUGGAAACUUCUCUCGCUGGGUUCCCCGCCCCCCCGCCUUCCCCCCCCUCCCCUCUUACACACAGGCCAGUCGGCCUACCAACGCUUCCCCCCUUCUCCCCCUGAGAGGCCUCAGCGCUCCAGGAAGGAGGUCUGGGCUAGAGGGACUGUGACCAGGGGUGAAGAGCCUAGGGUGCGUGUCCGUGGGCCCCGAGUUUUUGGCACUCGGUGACCUCGCUCCUUGAAGUCUUGACUUGCCUCUCCCUCCCUUUGGUCAUUCGGGGCUUUGUAUCAGCCGAUGGAGAAGGAAGGGGAGGGAAGAGAAGAAAGUGGUUCACGUGUGUGGUUUUUAUAUUAAGGGUUUGUUGGAAUCUCUCACCUCCAACUGUAUAGCCUCUUUUAUAGGAUCUAUGGAGAGAAGGGGGAAGGUGGGCCCCACGGGGGGAAAGGGUCAGGAACCUAGACCUGGGAGCUGGAUCUUACUCUACCGGUCGGCUCAGCUACAGCCCGGUCCGCAAGCGGGGUGGGGGGACAUUGCAGAGAGGGGAACGGACAGGAGGGCCGGGUCCCUCGAUCCAGGAGACGCCAAACCUCCCUCCCCCGGUCGAGAGCGCAGGUCCCCCUGGCGCGCUCCCCAGCCCAGAGCGCACGCCGUGGCUCCGCACCGGAGCUGCUCAGGCGGCAAUUUUUUAAGCCUGCAAUUAAGCGAGGCGUCGCCGUGUCCUCUGCUAGUGUCGAUCCUGUCAGUCGCACAUGGCCUUGGUGCUCCGGUCCGAGGCCCCGCGAUUAGUCACAGGCUCGCUUCGCUCCUUCCCUAAUCCGCCUCUGCAGGCAGCCUGGGGACGCGGCCGACUUGGCGGCGCUGGCAGGGAGCCACUGCGCGCGGGGCGGGCCGCCUGGCCAGUACCAGCCCCGCUGUGCCCGAGUCGGCGCGGGUCCCAGGGUGCGGGCUUGGGACUCCCUCCUCCCUUCACAGCCCCCAGGCUGGGGCGGCAGCGCCCCUCCUCCUCUCGCCCCACUCCCGGGCCUGCGAGAUCUAUUUGUGUGGUGUCAUUUGCAUAAAAAUAGGACAAGUGUUUCAGUGCGUUCGAACGCGGGAGGCGAAAUUCUUAUUGAUGUGUCUGUGUGGAGCCCUCGGUUGUCGGAGCGGUUUGAUUUAGGGUGUUUGUGUUGCCUUCUGCGAGGAAUGAGAGGAAAUCCUGCGCAACGCCUUCGGCGGCCCAGCCCCCACAGAGCAUCCCCCUCUGCACGGCCCGGAACGGUCCACCGCCUGGACCCCGGCGCGCCGAGUCCACAGCGAGUAGGCUGAGGGCCAGGCGGGCGACCCAUUAUGACUCAUAAAACUGGGCGGCCUAAUCACCAGCUGCCAACCCGUUUACGUGUGGCGCUUCCCAAUGUUCCCUUCGCCCGGCCCGGGCCUCCAGCAGGUUCGCCCCGGACACGGCUAGAGCCGCUCAGUGGGGGCUAAUCAAGUGGUCGCUCGUUCCCGUCAGCAGCGCGGCUUCCCUUCCCGGGCGACCCCCGCGCUCCCGGCCUUUGCGCUGCUCGCCAGCAACUCCUCAGCUUGGACAAAUAGCUGGGAGGGCGCCGGCCGCGCGGAGCCAGUAAAUCAAUCAUUAACUCCCCGGCGAGGCCUGGCCAGGGGAGGGAGCGGCGGCCAGAACCGAGUCAGCGGGGCGAGAGCGAGGCCCCCACCCCGGGUUGGGAGCCGUCCACGCGCCAGCAGACAGGGUGCGUGAAAGUGGGUCCCCCCGGGGCCUCCAGAUCCCCUCCAGAAGCCUCCGCCUGCCGGGCCUUUCAAGCCCGCACCUCGCCUCGCCAGUCAGGUCGGGUUACUGUGCGGCCCCCGCGCAGGCUGGAACAUUAACGAGCCGCCCCGGGCCUCGCGGCCUGCUCUCCCCAGGAGAGCCUGCCGCGCUUGGGCAAGCUCUUCGGAUCCGGUCGGGCUCCUCCAGACACUGGCUUGCCAAACCAAACCGAUCGCCCCCGUGUCGACUAGUCUCCCAGCGGCACCCUCCCCACGGAGCCCACCGUGGGGCGGCACGCAGGGGGUUAAAAGCUCCGGUUCGCCCUGGCUCCUCCGCGGCGCUGAGGAAACGCUGAUCAAAGUGCUUACGGGGAAGGAAACACACACGCACACUUGGGCCUGGGUCGAAGAAGAGCGACCGGAGGGACGGCUCGGGAGCCGCCUGCCUCGACCCGCUUCCCACACUCCCGGGAACGCGACGGCGGCGGCGGCCCGCGCGAUUCUCUCCGCGGAGCUCGGCGCGGCGGGGCCGGGAGGCCGGCGGGGAGGGGGAUGGAACGAGGGGGAGGGAGGCGAGCCCGGGCUGCGCGCCAAGAGGCCCAGAGCCGCAGAUUAGUCACCGUUCGGCUGGGCGCUCACGGGUGCGCCCGGGAACCGGGAGGGCAGGCGUCGGCCCCGCUCCGCCGGGCUCCCGGGGGCUCGGCGCCGCGGCGCGGGUGCCCCCGCCCCCACCCCUGCGCGCGCCCGGCGCGGCUGGAUGAACUCUCGGGGGCUCGCGCUGCGGAGAUCCACUUGUCAGUUCAAGGGCAGGACAGAAACUCUGCAAGCAGAGUCUUGCGAACAGGAAAUUUCUCAUUGACAAGGUCUCGGUUGAUGUGCUGUGUUCACCAUGGGAACCUAAGAAUUUAUCAUCUGUGUGAAGAGUUGCCUUCCUCUCAGAUGAGGAAACUGAGGCUUAGAGGAUAAUUAACUUGCCUGCUUGCCUGGACACUCAUUGCCUGAUUCCUAGAGCCUAAACUUUGAUCCACGCAGUCUUUCCAACUCUCCAGGCACCUGUGGUCAACGUCAUGACUCUGCCAAUUCCACAGGCGCAUCAUAAUUGGGUGCUUCCUUUGGAUCUAAAGGAAAUGGCCUUCACUGCAUGCUGGCAUGCCAACGAUGCCCUCUGAGGACAUGACGACAGUGAAUUUGUCCCAAAGGUCUCUCUGAGAUGCCUCUCGUGUUCUGUCGCUUUCCAAGAUGCAGCCUGUUCAGGGUAAGCAGAAGCUCUGGGAUGACCCCCGUGACGGAGUGUGGUCACAUCCCCGCCCUGGUCUCUUUGACAAAGCAUGCUGGCCAGUCGGCGGAUGCCCUCACCAGUUCAAUGCCAGUGGUUGCGCCGGGACCUUCCUGCCCUAUUUGCUGGCACAGGGAGCGUGCAGGAGGGAAGAUCGAUCUCCGAGAUAAUUCAGGUUCUGUCUUUCUUCAAACCAGCCUCUGUCCUCUGCUCUAGCUCCGCCGACAAUGAUUAAUGCGCCACUGACUAUUUCCUUUCUUCGGCUUCUCCCUGGCUUUGGGGUUUAUUUCACAGCCUUUGCCAGGGUUUCUCCUCAGCAGAGAGUAAAUACUUGGAGAUUGGAGCACAGCCCUUGGUGUUACUCAGAAAGCGUCCCAGGCAGCAGGUGGAACGGGGCCAUCCCUGGAGUAGGUGAUGCCACUGUUUAGGGUUCAGUGCUAACCCACCACCUCCACCAAUGAAAGCCUAAUCUUUUAAUUAUUCUGAAAAUACCCAAACUAAGGAUGGCAGGGAAGGCAAUUAAUAGGAUUCAUACGGUCUAGUCCUCAUUUGUAAUUAUAUAUUAUUAUUUUUCUCCCUACUUUGUUCCAAUAAUGAUUUAAGGCUGCUUCCAAAGAUACACAAAACCCAGCAAAGAUAAAUAGAGUGGGACGUGAAUUAUAAUGUCAUGCCCACUCACAACCUCUGUGCUCCGUUCCACAUAUAGAACUGAAUUCAUAACGCCUUUCAAAAAGGAGGUAAUUGGGACUUCCAUGGUGGGGCAGUAGUUAAGAAUUCGCCUGCCAAUGCAGGGGACACGGGUUCGAGCCCUGGUCCGGGAAGA
Aethalodelphis obliquidens (Pacific white-sided dolphin) is the source of this 4418-nucleotide long non-coding RNA. RefSeq lists it as uncharacterized. The transcript is spliced from 3 exons. NCBI's taxonomy places the organism in Eukaryota, Metazoa, Chordata, Mammalia, Artiodactyla, Delphinidae. The record is from RefSeq and is a predicted model, not a curated record.